GGGCCGGUGGCAGAGCCGGGCUAUUGCAGCACUCAGAGUCAUAGGCCGGGCACGCACGGGCAACUCGACGGUGUGUGGGGCCGCUGGCGUGCCAUGCCCCACCGGGGGUUCAAAUCCCCUCCGGCCCG
RNAcentral lists this transfer RNA (128 nucleotides) under Plantactinospora soyae. Its description in RNAcentral is "tRNA-OTHER". Lineage: Bacteria; Bacillati; Actinomycetota; Actinomycetes; Micromonosporales; Micromonosporaceae. The record is from RNAcentral.